Molecule: ribosomal RNA, 497 nt
Filed under: uncultured bacterium
Lineage: Bacteria
Description: partial 16S ribosomal RNA
Rfam family: Bacterial small subunit ribosomal RNA
Source: RNAcentral
GAUGAACGCUGGCGGCGUGCCUAAUACAUGCAAGUCGAGCGAACAGACGAGGAGCUUGCUCCUCUGACGUUAGCGGCGGACGGGUGAGUAACACGUGGAUAACCUACCUAUAAGACUGGGAUAACUUCGGGAAACCGGAGCUAAUACCGGAUAAUAUAUUGAACCGCAUGGUUCAAUAGUGAAAGACGGUUUUGCUGUCACUUAUAGAUGGAUCCGCGCCGCAUUAGCUAGUUGGUAAGGUAACGGCUUACCAAGGCAACGAUGCGUAGCCGACCUGAGAGGGUGAUCGGCCACACUGGAACUGAGACACGGUCCAGACUCCUACGGGAGGCAGCAGUAGGGAAUCUUCCGCAAAGGGCGAAAGCCUGACGGAGCAACGCCGCGUGAGUGAUGAAGGUCUUCGGAUCGUAAAACUCUGUUAUUAGGGAAGAACAAAUGUGUAAGUAACUAUGCACGUCCUGACGGUACCUAAUCAGAAAGCCACGGCUAACUACGUG